RNAcentral lists this ribosomal RNA (465 nucleotides) under uncultured bacterium. RNAcentral describes it as "partial 16S ribosomal RNA". It matches the Rfam family "Bacterial small subunit ribosomal RNA", at positions 28 to 507 of the family's 1533-position model. The record is from RNAcentral.
GACGAACGCUGGCGGCGUGCUUAACACAUGCCAGUCGAACGGUAAGGCCCCUUCGGGGGUACACGAGUGGCGAACGGGUGAGUAACACGCGAGCAACCUGCCCUUGACUCUGGAAUAACAGUUGGAAACAGCUGCUAAUACUGGAUAUUCAUCGUCUCCUUCCUGGGGGGUGGUGGAAAGCUCCGGCGGUCAGGGAUGGGCUCGCGGCCUAUCAGCUUGUUGGUGAGGUAAUGGCUCACCAAGGCUUCGACGGGUAGCCGGCCUGAGAGGGCGACCGGCCACACUGGGACUGAGAUACGGCCCAGACUCCUACGGGAGGCAGCAGUGGGGAAUAUUGCACAAUGGGCGCAAGCCUGAUGCAGCAACGCCGCGUGCGGGAUGACGGCCUUCGGGUUGUAAACCGCUUUCAGUAGGGACGAAGGGUGACUGACGGUACCUACAGAAGAAGGACCGGCUAACUACGUG